GCGGGUGUAGCUCAAUUGGUUAGAGCACUCCCCUGUCACGGGAGAGGCUGCGGGUUCGAGCCCCGUCACUCGCGCUA
This 77-nucleotide transfer RNA is filed under the name Candidatus Kaiserbacteria bacterium RIFCSPHIGHO2_12_FULL_55_13. RNAcentral describes it as "tRNA-Asp". It matches the Rfam family "tRNA". From Rfam's summary of the family: Transfer RNA (tRNA) molecules are approximately 80 nucleotides in length. The record is from RNAcentral. Lineage: Bacteria; Candidatus Kaiseribacteriota. RNAcentral also lists the same sequence under 1 other name.